GACCUGAUAGCACAGUGGGUAGUGCGACUGUUUCGAUUCGCAGAAUAACAUUGAAAAGUAUAAACAGAGGAGCCCUGUUCGAUUCGGGGUCAGGUCA
Non-coding RNA from Mycena crocata, 97 nucleotides. Lineage: Eukaryota; Fungi; Basidiomycota; Agaricomycetes; Agaricales; Mycenaceae. The record is from the annotation of a GenBank genome assembly.